CAAUCGGCCCUUUUCAGGGCCAAAAUAUAUUUCAAACGUAUGGAACU
Trichomalopsis sarcophagae is the source of this 47-nucleotide non-coding RNA. NCBI's taxonomy places the organism in Eukaryota, Metazoa, Arthropoda, Insecta, Hymenoptera, Pteromalidae. The record is from Rfam.